UGAUGAACUAAUCCUUCCACCUUCCC
Molecule: non-coding RNA, 26 nt
Filed under: Rattus norvegicus (Norway rat)
Lineage: Eukaryota; Metazoa; Chordata; Mammalia; Rodentia; Muridae
Source: RNAcentral